UCCUUCGUUGCGGCGCUCAAGUUCGUUGCCUAUCCGACCUCUUAUAUGUAUGCACUAUUGGAAACGUAUACUACUCCAUACGCUCUUUUUAUUUGUCGUGUUUUAGUUCAAAAAUUAACUAGCGAACGACAAAUAUUUGAAAACGUAGGUAGUAUACAGUAGGGUAAUUUGGUCUUAUUUUAUUUUCUUAGAGAGAUAAAAAAUAAUGUUCUUAGCUUUGAAAUUUCUGUAUUUUACAUAUAAAAAGAAAGCAGGUAAAUUGUUUUGCAUCCAUUUCUACAAGGGCACAAGCAAAUGGUCAAUAUAUUAUAUUUCGGGGAGUUGUACUAAGGCCUAAGGGAAUGUUUGAUUUUAGGGGCUAAUUUUUAGUUACACCAUUUUAUUCUAUUUUAGUUUCUAAAUUAUCAAAUAUAGAAACUAAAAUAAAGUUUUAAUUUCCGUAUUUGACAAUUUAGGACCUAAAAUAGAAGAAAAUAGAGGGACUAAAAAUAGUCCUUAGAAACCAAACAUCUUUGAUAUAUUGGAUUUUUUUUGACGUAUCCAUUUAUGCUUAAAUAAGCUAGUGUUGUUUUUCUCGAGUGCCCCGCCCCUCCACUUUAAAUUAUAAUAUGAUGUUCUGGCUUUUCUAAAUGUAUAAGUUAUGUUUAAAAAUUAAAAAGAACCGAGAAACCUAAGUACGUUAACACCACAUCAAUUUUCCACAUGGAUACCCCACAAAAAAUCCACAUGAACACCGUUGGACUGAGAUCUAUGUAUUGCUUUGGGCGUUUCGUUGGUGAACAUCAACGCAGCCGGUUUCGUUGAUGUCGGCAUGAGAAUAAUGAAGAUGAGCUGCGCGGUAGGAAAAGAUAUAUAUGACCUAUUGAUUAGCUUUUUUCAGAUUAGCUUUUCUGAGAAUAUAGCUGUAGAGAGAAUCUAACUGUAAGAAGAAUAUGUAUAUCGUGAGUAUUACGUGCGGAGUAAAAUGAAGUGGUCUAAAAAAUUCAAGAUCUAAAAAGUGAUGAAUUUCUACUAUCAUGACGACUCGACUGAUUCUAUGUUCAUAUUGAUUUUGAACAAUUUUUACCAAAACGAUUCUUAUAGAAGCGGGCUGAAAAUCAAGAACAUUUGUUAGGACGCAACAGUCUUUUGUGGCCAGAAUCUGAAAAAGCACAAACAAACAUGACCUAAGCUUAGUGUGUCUUAAAUCGUUGUCUACCUCCUAAUAAAGGCUUGUUCUUCGUUUAUACCGGAACGGUUCCGUUGGAAUGGUUAGUUCCAGCUAGAAUGAUAGGUUUAUUUAUAUUAGCAUUGACUAGCCGGAAUAGUCUCAGAUCCCAAUCCCUGUUAAACGAAACGGCUAACAAACGGUUUAAACCACAGAAUCUACUCCCUACAACCACAGAAAAGUGGAAAGCUCUGCACACCCUACUGUACUGUGCAUACAAGAAAAUUCGAGUUAGAUAGAUCUACAAUAUUAUCUUAUUUUAUAUAUUGAAAACAGGUAGGUGUGAAAUUGUUGUACAUGAGUUCAUCGCAAAAGGAGGGUUUAUUUUUUUUUUCAGAAUAUGUUUCAUGUGGUUCCAACUUCCAACCAUGUAUCCGGGUUCUGCAGUGGGUUCAGGUGAAUGCGAGGUCGAACAGACAACGAACUCGAGGCCCGAAUCCAAGGGCUGUUUACCUGACAAAGAGCCCGGUACGGAGCACGCAGCAUCGCCUUUUUUUUUGCAUAUAUAUAGACGUCUCUGCGCAUGAGACCUGUCAAUAUAUGAAACACAAACAGAAGAGAGAGAUCGUCAGUGUCACCAUGUUGCAAAGCUACGCUACUUCAAAAAAACAAGCAAAAUAGAUGUAUCUUUCCACGACCAGGCAUUUUCUUAACUACAAAGCAUGAAGAGCUAGCGAUGCUCUGAACUAAGACGUACGUCAGUAGAUCGAUCGAUGGUGUUUACCUCGAGACGUCGUCGUCCAAUGCUAGUAGCUCCAGCAAGCUGCUAGACUAGACGACAUGCACAGGAAGGACGAAGGCCAUGAGAGAUGCAGCAGCAGCAGGAUGGUUUGAUGCGUUUAUUUGU
Molecule: long non-coding RNA, 2054 nt
Filed under: Zea mays
Lineage: Eukaryota; Viridiplantae; Streptophyta; Magnoliopsida; Poales; Poaceae
Description: long non-coding RNA (ZMAY_LNC002367)
Source: RNAcentral